CCAAAUUGAAGUAUGCAAAACCAGAAUUUAUUAUCAAGCUGGCUCUUUUCCUCUCCAUGCAUUGUAGUUUCAGAAUAACAAUGAGACAAAACACACUUGGAAAAGGAAAAUAAAGGCAUCUGGACUACAGAUGUGGCCGGCAAAUUAUAGAUGCUUAUCAGAAAACAAAUUUUGCGAGUCAGGUUCAAAUGCAUAGCUGUUUGUGGCACAUUUAAAGAACGUAUCAUUACAUUGUCAUCAAAGAAUCUGCUCCAUGGUAGAUGAAAUUCCGUGCUUAUCUUAUGGCCAUCCCAAUAUAAUCCUGUUUAUAGGCAAUAUCUCUAAUGCCAAAAUUCCAAAACUAAGGUAUUACAACCAUGAAAUAGUAACUGUGAAGCCCAGCAACCAUUCAAGUUGCAGCAGCAUGAUGCUCUUGCAGUGCAAGACGAAUAGCUGGUUGCCAAAUUGUGCCAUCUGGAUUAUCGAUAAGAGAAAUUGCCAUAAUAGCUUAAUCCUUCCUAAUAGCAUCUGAUUUUUCAUAGUCUCUG
RNAcentral lists this unclassified non-coding RNA (527 nucleotides) under Hevea brasiliensis (rubber tree). The record is from RNAcentral. Lineage: Eukaryota; Viridiplantae; Streptophyta; Magnoliopsida; Malpighiales; Euphorbiaceae.